ACGGGUGAGUAAUACAUCGGAACGUACCCUAUCGUGGGGGAUAACGAAUCGAAAGAUUCGCUAAUACCGCAUACGACCUGAGGGUGAAAGCAGGGGAUCGCAAGACCUUGCGCGAUUGGAGCGGCCGAUGUCGGAUUAGCUAGUUGGUAGGGUAAAGGCCUACCAAGGCGACGAUCCGUAGCUGGUCUGAGAGGACGACCAGCCACACUGGGACUGAGACACGGCCCAGACUCCUACGGGAGGCAGCAGUGGGGAAUUUUGGACAAUGGGGGCAACCCUGAACCAGCCAUUCCGCGUGAGUGAAGAAGGCCUUCGGGUUGUAAAGCUCUUUCGGCAGGAACGAAAAGGCGGGCUCUAACAUAGCCUGUCAAUGACGGUACCUGAAGAAGAAGCACCGGCUAACUACGUGCCAGCAGCCGCGGUAAUACGUAGGGUGCGAGCGUUAAUCGGAAUUACUGGGCGUAAAGCGUGCGCAGGCGGCUUUGUAAGACAGGUGUGAAAUCCCCGGGCUUAACCUGGGAACUGCGCUUGUGACUGCAAGGCUUGAGUGCGGCAGAGGGGGGUGGAAUUCCACGUGUAGCAGU
Molecule: ribosomal RNA, 584 nt
Filed under: uncultured bacterium
Lineage: Bacteria
Description: bacterial SSU rRNA
Rfam family: Bacterial small subunit ribosomal RNA
Source: RNAcentral